This 547-nucleotide ribosomal RNA is filed under the name uncultured bacterium. RNAcentral describes it as "bacterial SSU rRNA". It matches the Rfam family "Bacterial small subunit ribosomal RNA", at positions 358 to 916 of the family's 1533-position model. The record is from RNAcentral.
GGAAUCUUGCGCAAUGGGCGAAAGCCUGACCCAGCGACGCCGCGUGAGGGAUGAAGGUCUUCGGAUUGUAAACCUCUUUCAGUAGGGAAGAAGCGAAAGUGACGGUACCUAAAGAAGAAGCACCGGCUAACUAUGUGCCAGCAGCCGCGGUAAUACAUAGGGUGCAAGCGUUGUCCGGAAUUAUUGGGCGUAAAGAGCUCGUAGGUCGUUUGUCGCGUCGAUUGUGAAAAUCUGAGGCUCAACCUCAGACCUGCAGUCGAUACGGGCAAACUAGAGUGUGGUAGGGGAGACUGGAAUUCCUGGUGUAGCGGUGGAAUGCGCAGAUAUCAGGAGGAACACCAAUGGCGAAGGCAGGUCUCUGGGCCAUAACUGACACUGAGGAGCGAAAGUGCGGGGAGCGAACAGGAUUAGAUACCCUGGUAGUCCGCACCGUAAACGGUGGGCACUAGUUGUGGGAACCUUCCACGGUUUCCGCGACGCAGCAAACGCAUUAAGUGCCCCGCCUGGGGAGUACGAUCGCAAGAUUAAAACUCAAAGGAAUUGACGG